GGGGAUUUGGCUCAGUGGUAGAGCACUUGCCUAGGAAGCGCAAGAAAUACCCA
Molecule: transfer RNA, 53 nt
Filed under: Rattus norvegicus (Norway rat)
Lineage: Eukaryota; Metazoa; Chordata; Mammalia; Rodentia; Muridae
Source: Rfam by way of RNAcentral